RNAcentral lists this ribosomal RNA (1400 nucleotides) under Salmonella enterica subsp. enterica serovar Enteritidis. Its description in RNAcentral is "partial 23S ribosomal RNA". It matches the Rfam family "Bacterial large subunit ribosomal RNA", at positions 1418 to 2803 of the family's 2925-position model. Lineage: Bacteria; Pseudomonadati; Pseudomonadota; Gammaproteobacteria; Enterobacterales; Enterobacteriaceae. The record is from RNAcentral.
AUGGGAAACGGGUUAAUAUUCCCGUACUUGGUGUUACUGCGAAGGGGGGACGGAGAAGGCUAUGUUGGCCGGGCGACGGUUGUCCCGGUUUAAGCGUGUAGGCUGGUUUUCCAGGCAAAUCCGGAAAAUCAAGGCUGAGGCGUGAUGACGAGGCACUACGGUGCUGAAGCAACAAAUGCCCUGCUUCCAGGAAAAGCCUCUAAGCAUCAGGUAACAUCAAAUCGUACCCCAAACCGACACAGGUGGUCAGGUAGAGAAUACCAAGGCGCUUGAGAGAACUCGGGUGAAGGAACUAGGCAAAAUGGUGCCGUAACUUCGGGAGAAGGCACGCUGACACGUAGGUGAAGUGAUUUACUCAUGGAGCUGAAGUCAGUCGAAGAUACCAGCUGGCUGCAACUGUUUAUUAAAAACACAGCACUGUGCAAACACGAAAGUGGACGUAUACGGUGUGACGCCUGCCCGGUGCCGGAAGGUUAAUUGAUGGGGUCAGCGCAAGCGAAGCUCCUGAUCGAAGCCCCGGUAAACGGCGGCCGUAACUAUAACGGUCCUAAGGUAGCGAAAUUCCUUGUCGGGUAAGUUCCGACCUGCACGAAUGGCGUAAUGAUGGCCAGGCUGUCUCCACCCGAGACUCAGUGAAAUUGAACUCGCUGUGAAGAUGCAGUGUACCCGCGGCAAGACGGAAAGACCCCGUGAACCUUUACUAUAGCUUGACACUGAACAUUGAGCCUUGAUGUGUAGGAUAGGUGGGAGGCUUUGAAGUGUGGACGCCAGUCUGCAUGGAGCCGACCUUGAAAUACCACCCUUUAAUGUUUGAUGUUCUAACGUGGACCCGUUACCCGGGUUGCGGACAGUGUCUGGUGGGUAGUUUGACUGGGGCGGUCUCCUCCUAAAGAGUAACGGAGGAGCACGAAGGUUGGCUAAUCCUGGUCGGACAUCAGGAGGUUAGUGCAAUGGCAUAAGCCAGCUUGACUGCGAGCGUGACGGCGCGAGCAGGUGCGAAAGCAGGUCAUAGUGAUCCGGUGGUUCUGAAUGGAAGGGCCAUCGCUCAACGGAUAAAAGGUACUCCGGGGAUAACAGGCUGAUACCGCCCAAGAGUUCAUAUCGACGGCGGUGUUUGGCACCUCGAUGUCGGCUCAUCACAUCCUGGGGCUGAAGUAGGUCCCAAGGGUAUGGCUGUUCGCCAUUUAAAGUGGUACGCGAGCUGGGUUUAGAACGUCGUGAGACAGUUCGGUCCCUAUCUGCCGUGGGCGCUGGAGAACUGAGGGGGGCUGCUCCUAGUACGAGAGGACCGGAGUGGACGCAUCACUGGUGUUCGGGUUGUCAUGCCAAUGGCACUGCCCGGUAGCUAAAUGCGGAAGAGAUAAGUGCUGAAAGCAUCUAAGCACGAAACUUGCCCCGAG